UACAUGUGGGGCAAGCGUUGUUCGGAAUUACUGGGCAUAAAGGGUGCGUAGGUGGUUUGUUAAGUCAGGGGUGAAAUCCCGCGGCCCAACCGUGGAACUGCCUUUGAUACUGGCGAACUUGAGUGCGUGAGGGGUAGGGGGAACGAGCAGUGUAGCGGUGAAAUGCGUAGAUAUCUGGAGGAACACCGGUGGCGAAGGCGGCAUCCUGGGCCAAUAUUGACGCUGAGGAGCGAAAGCCAGGGGAGCAAACGGG
This 253-nucleotide ribosomal RNA is filed under the name uncultured bacterium. RNAcentral describes it as "partial 16S ribosomal RNA". It matches the Rfam family "Bacterial small subunit ribosomal RNA", at positions 524 to 776 of the family's 1533-position model. The record is from RNAcentral.